Molecule: ribosomal RNA, 85 nt
Filed under: Eubacterium sp.
Lineage: Bacteria; Bacillati; Bacillota; Clostridia; Eubacteriales; Eubacteriaceae
Description: partial 23S ribosomal RNA
Rfam family: Bacterial large subunit ribosomal RNA
Source: RNAcentral
AGACGACAAGGUAGAUAGGUUGGAGGUGGAAGAGCGGCAACGCUUGCAGCUGACCAAUACUAAUAGGUCGAGGGCUUGACCAGAA